UGCCUACGGGGGGCAGCAGUGGGGAAUAUUGGGCAAUGGGCGCAAGCCUGACCCAGCAACGCCGCGUGAAGGAAGAAGGCCCUCGGGUUGUAAACUUCUUUUAUCAGGGACGAAACAAAUGACGGUACCUGAUGAAUAAGCCACGGCUAACUACGUGCCAGCAGCCGCGGUAAUACGUAGGUGGCAAGCGUUAUCCGGAUUUACUGGGUGUAAAGGGCGUGUAGGCGGGUCUGCAAGUGUGAGGUGAAAUAU
Molecule: ribosomal RNA, 252 nt
Filed under: uncultured bacterium
Lineage: Bacteria
Description: partial 16S ribosomal RNA
Rfam family: Bacterial small subunit ribosomal RNA
Source: RNAcentral